This 443-nucleotide ribosomal RNA is filed under the name uncultured bacterium. RNAcentral's name for it is "bacterial SSU rRNA". It matches the Rfam family "Bacterial small subunit ribosomal RNA", at positions 337 to 798 of the family's 1533-position model. The record is from RNAcentral.
UCCUACGGGGGGCAGCAGUGGGGAAUAUUGGACAAUGGGGGCAACCCUGAUCCAGCCAUGCCGCGUGAGUGAUGAAGGCCCUAGGGUUGUAAAGCUCUUUCGACGGGGACGAUAAUGACGGUACCCGUAGAAGAAGCCCCGGCUAACUUCGUGCCAGCAGCCGCGGUAAUACGAAGGGGGCUAGCGUUGCUCGGAAUCACUGGGCGUAAAGCGCACGUAGGCGGAUCUUUAAGUCAGGGGUGAAAUCCCAAGGCUCAACCUUGGAACUGCCUUUGAUACUGGGGAUCUCGAGUCCGGAAGAGGUGAGUGGAACUGCGAGUGUAGAGGUGAAAUUCGUAGAUAUUCGCAAGAACACCAGUGGCGAAGGCGGCUCACUGGUCCGGUACUGACGCUGAGGUGCGAAAGCGUGGGGAGCAAACAGGAUUAGAUACCCGGGUAGUCAC